Molecule: ribosomal RNA, 422 nt
Filed under: uncultured bacterium
Lineage: Bacteria
Also listed under: 2 other names
Description: bacterial SSU rRNA
Rfam family: Bacterial small subunit ribosomal RNA
Source: RNAcentral
UGAGGAAUAUUGGUCAAUGGGCGUAAGCCUGAACCAGCCAAGUCGCGUGAGGGAUGAAGGUUCUAUGGAUCGUAAACCUCUUUUAUAAGGGAAUAAAGUGCGGGACGUGUCCCGUUUUGUAUGUACCUUAUGAAUAAGGAUCGGCUAACUCCGUGCCAGCAGCCGCGGUAAUACGGAGGAUCCGAGCGUUAUCCGGAUUUAUUGGGUUUAAAGGGUGCGUAGGCGGCCUUUUAAGUCAGCGGUGAAAGUCUGUGGCUCAACCAUAGAAUUGCCGUUGAAACUGGGGGGCUUGAGUAUGUUUGAGGCAGGCGGAAUGCGUGGUGUAGCGGUGAAAUGCUUAGAUAUCACGCAGAACCCCGAUUGCGAAGGCAGCCUGCCAAGCCAUGACUGACGCUGAUGCACGAAAGCGUGGGGAUCAAACA